Magnolia sinica is the source of this 905-nucleotide long non-coding RNA. RefSeq lists it as uncharacterized. Lineage: Eukaryota; Viridiplantae; Streptophyta; Magnoliopsida; Magnoliales; Magnoliaceae. The record is from RefSeq and is a predicted model, not a curated record. The transcript is spliced from 3 exons.
UUUGAUUUAAAAUAAUGGUGACUUAUUCAUAACAAUCGUGGCAAAGAUUUAGAGUUAUCUAGACCAUCCAAAUAAUCGGUCUAGUUGCAAAUGGUAAAUAUUUAUAAUUUUGUUAUAUAAUAUAAGCUUAACCAUCCAGAAAAUGGUCCCAUGCAUGUACGACUGUUAAUAUAGCUUGUGUUAUAAAUAAUGGAGAACUCACAGAAUUCGGAUUUAAAUUCAUUAUCAUAUCCAAAAGAGGAUUUCCGAUGAGCGCCAUUUCAUCUUCCACCCAAAAUCAUUUUCGAAAGCCAUUUCCGUCGAGCGUCGUUGCCGAGCAUCAUCUUCCAUCGAGCGUCGUUGCCGAGCAUCAUCUUCAAAUAGGACUAGCGGGAAUGGCAGCCCUAGUGGCAAUGAAAGCCCUGGGGAAGCAGAUCAGAAGAGACCGAGACGUCCGUAUCAAUUGAAGACAUUUAAGAUUGAGAUUCGUUUUGCUGCUCGAAGCCCAAUGAAAGCCAUAGUGAAUGCUCUACGAGGUCAUGAUUCAGAGAGCUCUCAAGAAGCUUUAAGAGUGCUUGACAUCAUACCAAGGCAGCACACAGCAAAGCAGUAUGUAAUUUCAGUUUUUUAUUGUUGGCAUCACUCUUUUUUUUUUUUUUUUUCCUUUCAUAAAAUUGUUAACAUAGCUGGUAAUUCCAGAGGAUGCCUACUCGUACGGCAAUCGUAUUUCAACAAUGUGCCUCGCAACUUCACUGACAUAGGAGGUGGUGUUGUUGGCUGUCGAGGUUUCCAUUCUAGCUUCCGCACCACCCAAUGAGGCUUGUCUCUGAAUAUUGAUGUGUCUACAACAAUGAUUAUAAAGCCAAGACCUGUUGCAGAUUUUCUAGUGGCUAAUCAAAAUGUUUAUAUUUUUCUUUUUGGUAGCA